RNAcentral lists this ribosomal RNA (430 nucleotides) under uncultured marine bacterium 311. RNAcentral's name for it is "bacterial SSU rRNA". It matches the Rfam family "Bacterial small subunit ribosomal RNA", at positions 1095 to 1525 of the family's 1533-position model. The record is from RNAcentral.
AGCGCACCCCUAUCCUUAUUUGCCAGCGCAUAAUGGCGGGAACUAUAAGGAGACUGCCGGUCAUAAACCGGAGGAAGGCGGGGACGACGUCAAGUCAUCAUGGCCCUUAUGGGUAGGGCUACACACGUGAUACAAUGGGUGGUACAGAGGGUCGCCAAAGCGCGAGCUGGAGCCAAACCCUUAAAACCAUUCUUAGUCCGGAUUGGAGUCUGCAGCUCGACUCCAUGAAGUCGGAAUCGCUAGUAAUCGCGAAUCAGAAUGUCGCGGUGAAUACGUUCUCGGGCCCUGUACACACCGCCCGUCACGUCAUGGAAGUGGGUUGCACCAGAAGUGGCUUGUUUAACCUUCGGGAAAACGGUCACCACGGUGUGAUUCACAACUGGGACGAAGUCGUAACAAGGUGGCCCUAGGGGAACCUGGGGCUGGAUCA